UACGAAGGUCCCAAGCGUUAUCCGGAUUUAUUGGGUUUAAAGGGUGCGUAGGCGGACUGUUAAGUCAGUGGUGAAAGCUCCAUGCCUAACAUGGAAAAUGCCAUUGAUACUGACGGUCUUGAGUACAUUUGAAGUGGGCGGAAUGUGUCAUGUAGCGGUGAAAUGCUUAGAUAUGACACAGAACACCGAUUGCGUAGGCAGCUCACUAAACUGUAACUGACGCUGAGGCACGAAAGCGUGGGGAGCAAACAGG
Molecule: ribosomal RNA, 253 nt
Filed under: uncultured bacterium
Lineage: Bacteria
Description: partial 16S ribosomal RNA
Rfam family: Bacterial small subunit ribosomal RNA
Source: RNAcentral